RNAcentral lists this ribosomal RNA (497 nucleotides) under uncultured bacterium. RNAcentral's name for it is "partial 16S ribosomal RNA". It matches the Rfam family "Bacterial small subunit ribosomal RNA", at positions 28 to 507 of the family's 1533-position model. The record is from RNAcentral.
GAUGAACGCUGGCGGCGUGCCUAAUACAUGCAAGUCGAGCGAACGGACGAGAAGCUUGCUCCCCUGAUGUUAGCGGCGGACGGGUGAGUAACACGUGGAUAACCUACCUAUAAGACUGGGAUAACUUCGGGAAACCGUAGCUAAUACCGGAUAAUAUUUUGAACCGCAUGGUUCAAAAGUGAAAGACGGUCUUGCUUUCACUUAUAGAUGAAUCCGCCCUGCAUUAGCUAGUUGGUAAGGUAACGGCUUACCAAGGCAACGAUGCAUAGCCGACCUGAGCGGGUCAUCGGACACACUGGAAGUGAGACAGGGUCCAGACUCCUACGGGAGGAAACAGUAGGGAAUCUUCCGCGAGGGGCGAAAGCCUGACGGAGCAACGCCGCGUGAGUGAUGAAGGUCUUCGGAUCGUAGAGCUCUGUUAGUAGGGAAGAACAAAUGUGUAAGUAACUGUGCACAUCUUGACGGUACCUAAUCAGAAAGCCACGGCUAACUACGUG